Sinocyclocheilus rhinocerous is the source of this 242-nucleotide long non-coding RNA. RefSeq lists it as uncharacterized. The transcript is spliced from 3 exons. The record is from RefSeq and is a predicted model, not a curated record. NCBI's taxonomy places the organism in Eukaryota, Metazoa, Chordata, Actinopteri, Cypriniformes, Cyprinidae.
CUUGUGAGAGAUUCAAUGAGUCAUUCACUCACUCGAUUCCUUCAAAAACAGGACGCUUGAAGGUCAGUUCCGCUUUGGACUAAUUUGCAAGUAUUUUUGCCGGUGAUGCAAAUAUAGACAAAAUAACUGGAAAUAUUAUGCCUAAAAUUGACACUUCAAACAGCCAUGCGCCCAUACCGACGUUCAGCUGAGCAAAGACUCCCAGACAUUGACUACACACAGCUAACCCAGCAAAAUGAAAG